Long non-coding RNA from Callorhinchus milii (elephant shark), 237 nucleotides. RefSeq lists it as uncharacterized. The record is from RefSeq and is a predicted model, not a curated record. Lineage: Eukaryota; Metazoa; Chordata; Chondrichthyes; Chimaeriformes; Callorhinchidae. The transcript is spliced from 3 exons.
GAUUUUUGUAUUAACAAAUCACUGGAAAACUCAAGCAAACUGACACCUACACAACUAAGGCCUGAGAACUGGGUAUCUGCUGCUUAAUUCUAUGACUCUGUUUCUGUUAUUGCUUAAUCGUUCGGGUCAUUUCCGAAACUUAAGCAGGCUGGGAUGACUCAGAAAGGAUUAGCAGAAGAGGGUCACUGGCUGCUCUCUCGAGAGCCUUAUGAAGGUGAAGAAGAAGAAGAAGAAGAA